Molecule: ribosomal RNA, 831 nt
Filed under: uncultured archaeon
Lineage: Archaea
Description: bacterial SSU rRNA
Rfam family: Archaeal small subunit ribosomal RNA
Source: RNAcentral
CGAUUAAGCCAUGCAAGUCGAGAGUCGCAAGGACUCGGCGGACCGCUCAGUAACACGCGGAUAACAUGCCCUUGGGUGGGGGAUAACCUCGGGAAACUGAGAAUAAUACCCCAUAGAUCUAGAAAGCUGGAAUGCUUCAAGAUCGAAAACUCCGGUGCCCAAGGAUUGGUCUGCGGCGUAUCAGGUUGUAGUGGGUGUAACGGACCCCCUAGCCUAUGACGCGUAAGGGCCUUGAGAGAGGGAGCCCUGAGAUGGACUCUGAGACAUGAGUCCAGGCCCUACGGGGCGCAGCAGUCGCGAAAACUUCACAAUGGGGGAAACCCCGAUGAGGGAAUUCCAAGUGCCAGCACAUUGUGUUGGCUGUUCUCUGGUCUAAAAAACCGGAGAAGUAAGGGCCGGGUAAGACGGGUGCCAGCCGCCGCGGUAAUACCCGCGGCCCAAGUGGUGGUCGAUAUUAUUGAGCCUAAAACGUCCGUAGCCGGUCUUGUAAAUCCUUGGGUAAAUCGACCAGCUCAACUGUUCGAAGUCCGGGGAGACCGCAAGACUUGGGAUCGGGAGAGGUGAGAGGUACUUCUGGGGUAGGGGUAAAAUCCUGUAAUCCUAGAAGGACCACCGGUGGCGAAGGCGUCUCACUAGAACGAAUCCGACGGUGAGGGACGAAGCCCUGGGGCGCAAACGGGAUUAGAUACCCCGGUAGUCCAGGGUGUAAACGCUGCGGGCUUGGUGUUGGGGGUCCUUUGAGGGCGCCCAGUGCCGGAGAGAAGUUGUUAAGCCUGCUGCUUGGGGAGUACGUCCGCAAGGAUGAAACUUAAAGGAAUUGGCGGGGGAGCA